AUUCAACACAGAAGAUAUCAGUGAUGUUAAACGGCUUCCAACCUACACAUCCAAUCCCAUUUACUAAUAAUAAAAAAAUAUAUUUAGAAGAAUCCGUAAGCAAAGUAGCCAAACUCUCUGCACAAGCUGUAGAUUUUCCAACUCAAGGUAAACCUGUUUCUUUGCUUUAGCUUUCUGGAGGAGCAGGAGCAGGAGCAGGAGCUGGAGCUGGGGCCUUCAAAAGUGGUUGGAGUGCCUUCACAACUAUGCUCAUAUUUGGCCUGAACUCAGCUUCAUAUUGCACACAUAAUGCAGC
Molecule: unclassified non-coding RNA, 295 nt
Filed under: Hevea brasiliensis (rubber tree)
Lineage: Eukaryota; Viridiplantae; Streptophyta; Magnoliopsida; Malpighiales; Euphorbiaceae
Source: RNAcentral